Molecule: ribosomal RNA, 447 nt
Filed under: Triticum aestivum (bread wheat)
Lineage: Eukaryota; Viridiplantae; Streptophyta; Magnoliopsida; Poales; Poaceae
Description: partial small subunit ribosomal RNA
Source: RNAcentral
AUGGCCUGGUCACAUAGGAGGUAUUUGGGUGGUGUUGCAGUUUGCGGUCCAGCAGCGAUCUUUAUUGGCCAACCAGUGGAAGAACUUGACGCGAGGAGGCGCCCAACUCUUCCAGAUCAGUUUUCAAGCAUCGCAUGCAGUGAAACCGUGGAAGGUGGCGCUGUAGCGGGAACUAGCGGUGUAAAUGCCUUCGGUGCUCCUUUUCCAGGUGUCCACAAAGCUUUUGAUUCCGUCUCUUGGGAUGCUAUGACUGCUAUUUUACUUGCCAAAGGCAUCCCUUUGCUUUGGGAUCACUGGAUCAACCUCAUAAACAACACUGCAAACUCUGCUAUUCUGCGAAAUGGGAAACCUGGCCCGUGGUUUCCUUGCCGGCGUGGUCUAAGACAAGGAGACCCUCUAUCACCCUUCCUUUUCAUUGUGGUCGCUGACGUGCUCCAACGCGUGAUC